AUUCUUUCCUCACGAGUGGUUAUGAGAUGAAAUCAGAUAACUCAAGGCCUCUAGGCUGAGGGUCAGCAAACCUUUUCUGCAAAAGGCCACUGAGCUCUGUCCUUGUAGUAUGAAAGCAGUCACUGAUGACAGGUAAAUGAAUGUCUGUGGCCGUGUGCCAAUAAAACUUUAUUCAUAAAAACAGGAAGUGGAACAGAGAACUUGGCCCAGGGACCUGCAGUAUGUCUGUGGCUGUGUGCCAAUAAAACUUUAUUUAUACAAACAGGGAGUGGAGGGGGGAACUUGGCCCAGGGAGCUGCAGUUUGUCUGUGGCUGUGUGCCAAUAAAACUUCAUUUAUAAAAACAGGAAGUGGAGGGCCAGACUGGGCCUGGGGUGGGGGCACAGCAUGUCUGUGGCUGUAUGCCAAUAAAACUUUAUUUAUAAAAACAGGAACUAGAUGGGGGACUUGGCCUGGGGGCCACAGUUUUCGACCCCGGCUUUAGCAGUUUUUUCCUUCUUUUGCUAACUUCUAAAAUGAAGCCGACUGACCCUAGAAGUGCCAUUUCUGAAAGAGGAAGAGAGAAAAGGGGUGAAAGGACGUUGAACCAGCCAAGGCAGACUACAGCAUUUUCAGGGCGUCUCCCCAAGAUCUCCAAUAAGGACAACUAGCAUCGACUAGGCUAAUCCCGUGACGGCCUGUUCUGCGGGGACAUCAUCACCCUGGUGCUGCCCUCUCCCCCAUUCUCUAGAGAAAGGAGCCCCAAAAGAACAGAUAAACUCUGCCUCCUAGAAAGGUAAGACUCCUGGCCUGGCGCUGUGUGGGAUCAUGCCUGUAAUCCCAGCACUUUGGGAGGCAGAGGCAGGUGGAUCACUUGAGGUCAGGAGUUCGAGACCAGCCUGACCAACAUGGUGAAACCCGUCUCUACUAAAAAUACAAAAAUUAGCCAGGCGUGGUGUCAGGCACCUGUAAUCCCAGCUACUUGGGAGGCUGAGGCAGGAGAAUUGCUUGAACCCGGGAGGUGGAGGUUGCAGUGAGCCGAGAUUAUGCUAUUGCAUUCUAGCCUGGGAGACAAGAGUGAAACUCCAUCUCAAAAAAAAAAAAAACAAAAAAACCCAACCUGCUAUAAACAAAACUCACACACACACACACACACACACACACACACACACACGCACACAGAAAACAGACUGGGAAUUGUAAAAACAGCUGACGAACAGAGACUUUCUACUCUACAGGGAAGUCUCUCACCGUCAGCACUGUGGACAUCGGGACUGGAUCCAUCUCUGGGGUGAGGCUGCCCUGGCACUGCAGGGUGCUGAGCAGAGUCCCUGGCCUCCACCCACUCCCUGCCAGGAGCACCCCUUAGUUACACUGAGCUAUGAUCGCACCACUGCACUCGCACCUGGGCAACAGAGUGAGACUCUGACUCUAAAAUAAUAAUAAUAACAAGAAUAUAAGAAUAAUAAUUCAGAUCCAUGUCCGAUAAAAAUAAUAAAUAAGUAAAGCUGAGGCUCUAACAUGAAGUCAUUACGAGGCUCAUCCAGCCACAGUGGGCUCUGCACUGGGGCACCCGCCUGGGCCUCUGCCUGGCCCAUGUCUGCUCAGGAGCCCUCAGCCCCUUGAACCCUGCUGGUGGGACAGGGGGCCCCUCUACCAGGCCCCUAACUUCUCAACAGACCCCACCUUGGGCCUCCCCAGGCUGCACCUUAACCAUCUAUGACACGCAUCCCCAGGCGGCACCGGGAGUGUCUGCGCAGAGAUCCGAGGGUGUUAGCCUGGCAGGGGCCCUGCAGGUGGGUGCUGGUUCACUAAAACGAUGAAGCGGAUGGGAGGAAAAUUAGCAUCCAACGGGCCUCAUCAUUGCUGUCCUGGGCAAUGGACUCUGACCCCUGCUGUAGAGGGUCAGAGAGGGUCAAGGUCAAGCCACAGAUUGGCAGAGCCAUCCUCUCUGGCCUCCACUCGGCUCCCCCAUGUCCCCUGCCCCCAGCAUCUCAUCAUAUGCGACUGUCACCGCCGUGUGUAUUUUGAGUCAAAGGCGGCCAAGGCUCGAUGAAUCUGCCGAUGACCAAGUUGGUGCCUCAUCCCUCGUUCUGUGGGAGGCUGACUGUUCAAGCGGUUGCUUAGCAACAGGCGCGCGCGCGCGCGCGCACACACACACACACACACACACACACACACACACACGAGAGGUGGCUGUGGUCUGCACACUGGGCUGGGGUACUCAGAUCCCCGGGCUCGGUGGUCGUGGAUGUGAGCCUCUCUGGGUAUGGAGCCUCAAUCAGUAGAGUCAGGUGGUCGCAAUAACAGCUCUGAAACGGGGAUUCAUUGAGAGGACAUCGGUGGGCUUGAAAACGGGUGUCUGUUUACCGGGGCUUGAGUGGGAGCUGUAGUAAUUCUGUCCAGAAGAGGACAGAAGCCUGCUCUCAACUCACCCGGGAGGCAGGUUCUUCUGCACCGGGCCUUCUCCCCCCGGCACUGUGGGCAUUUGGGGCUGAAUCAUUCUUGGUUGUGGGGCUGCCCCGGGCACUGCAGGGUGCUGAGUGGCACCCCUGACCUCCACCCCAUGGCAUCCACCAAUCGAGGCAGCCACAAAUGUCUCCUGGGUGCAAAAUUGCCCCGAGUUGAGACCCCCUGGGAUAGGGGAUUCCACGGACCCCCAAGAGACUCCGCGUCCCAUGAUCCUCUGCCCUGCUGAGGUCCCCGGAGGCUGCACACAUUGAAAUCCACACCCUGAGUGAGGAGGGAGAGAGGAGGGGAACAACUUGUCCGCGAAAAGAACUGAUAAUAACGUGAAUUUCAACACGACCAGGACAUGCUGAAAUCUGGUGACCGACCAGGGGGAAAUAAACCCGCUCUGACUGGCCGCGGGGACUGGAGUUUGCUUACCACACAAGAGCCCUUCUCAGGAUAAGAGGCUCCAGUAAAGCUCUCAGCAGAAAUGUUACCAAAAAAAAAAAACCCUCGCCGGGAGAACAAGGAGCUACCAGAAAAACACACUCGGUGAUCUGGAGGUCGCAAAGUUCUUCCGCACUCAGUGAGGCAAGAAGCAAAAAGGCUGAAGAAAUGCUUAUCCUGGAAGAGGGGUUCUCACCCGGGUUCUGUGGACAUCGGAGCCGGAUUGUUCUCUGGGGUGGGGUCGUCCUGGGCACUGCAGGCUGCUGAGCAGCGUCCCGGGCCUCCACCCACUCCAUGCCAGGGGCACCCCCCAGUCGUG
Molecule: long non-coding RNA, 3195 nt
Filed under: Homo sapiens (human)
Lineage: Eukaryota; Metazoa; Chordata; Mammalia; Primates; Hominidae
Description: HSALNT0395642
Source: RNAcentral